This is a non-coding RNA of Microcebus murinus (gray mouse lemur), 1241 nucleotides long. NCBI's taxonomy places the organism in Eukaryota, Metazoa, Chordata, Mammalia, Primates, Cheirogaleidae. The record is from RefSeq and is a predicted model, not a curated record.
AAAAUGUGAAAGAUAAUCACAAGCCAAAACAUGCAUUUUAAAGACUGAGGUUGUACCUUCACAAUAAAUAUAAAACAAGAUGUGUCUAAGAGAAAUGUCAGCGAUAUCAACUGUCAAACUUAGUAUUUAUGGAAAUUGGAAUUUAAUACUUAAUAAAGAUAUUCCUGCUAUUUUCAGGUUUUUAAAAAACUUAGUUUUUUGAGACAAGUCUUGCUCUGUUGCCCAGGCUGGAGUAUAGUGGUAUCAUCAUAGCUCAGUGCAACCUCAAACUCCUGGGCUCAAGCCAUCCUCUUGAGUAGCUGGGACUUAAGGGUGUGCAUCACCAUAUUUGCUAAUUAUAAAAUGUUUUGUAGAGAUAGUUCUUGCCAUGUUGCUCAGGCUGGUCUUGAACUCCGGGGCUCAAGCAAUUCUCCCACCUCAGCCUCCUGAGGUGCUAGCAUUAUAGGUAUGAGACACUGUGCCCAGCAUUCAGAUUUUACUUUAUUGUGCUUUUACUUGAUAUAGAAAUUUAUAAUACUUCACAUAAAGCUAUUACACGCUGUGAAAAGUUUUGCUGCAAAUUUAACAAGAGUCCUUUCCCUAUUUAUCUUUACUCUUCCUUCCUUUGCUCACAUUUAGUACUCUGCAUUGUGCCUCUUCCUUCUAUAUCAUCAUCUCUCAGGCUAUGGAUGCAAAAUAUCAUUUUAUUUACUAGUAUUAUUUUUUGUUUUUGUUAACCACAGAGUUUCAGGAAAAAAGUGUUACUUUAUUUUAUCCUUUUAAAAUAUCAGUUGCCCUAUGAAAUAAUUGAGUGUAUUUUGGUGAUGGUGGGACUAUAGGCUACGGUUAGGAACAGUGUGCUGCAAGGCGAGACAAGUAAGACUAUUCCUGUUAGAUGAUUUGUGAUAACUAUUAGUGGGAGUUAGAUUGCCUGUUAGGAACAGACUCAAGAUUACUGUUUCAUCUCUGUAGUCUAUGCAGAGGAAGCAAAAUGUAUAAAAUUAUGAAGGAAGGAAAUGCAACAGCAAAUCAUUCAGGGUGGGUAGAGUAAAUCCUCAGGGUAGAGGUUGAAAAUGCAUUCGACAGAGAAAGGCAGAGCUUGAUCAUGUAUGUCAUGCUAAAGUAUUUGGCCUUUAACCUGACGGAGAAGGAGAGUAAUAGAUUCCAAAUGGAGAUUCUAAUAGUUCCCACAAUGAAAAUGGUGAAUUUUUUUUCUAUUGUAAAGGGAAUAUGUGCUUGUUGUAAAAUGCAAAAAAGCAAUA